AGAGAGAUCGAGGAAGAUAAUCCCAUGUUUGAACAACCAUCAGUAGGAACUGAAGAGGGACAGCAGGCUUCUAAUUCCCCAGGCAUAACCAUGUUACCAGGAACGCCAGCAAAGGAGACCAAACAGAAGGUCUGUUAUAGGUGACAACACUCCACCCAAAGAGGGCAGAGCGCAGUAACUGACCAAAGCCUCAGUAUACCAAGCUCACCGAUUACCAUCAAAAACCACCACCGGUUAACCUGCUUCACCAGGACAUUCUGUAGGCCCAGUGCCAACUAUUAGAGCUGAGCAAAGGCCAAAAGUUAGAGGCAUACAUAUCUGCACCUUUGCCUACCCACAUCAAAAGGAUGCUCCCAGCAGAGCUGAGACUGGAAUCCAGACAUCACAAAGGUUGUCUGAAGUGGACAAGGGAAACAUCCCUGUGAAAUUCAGAGCAGAUUCAUCUUCCUCAGAGGAACUGCCUGCCCUGGAAGAGCCUGCUUCUCUCAAGAGGAUUUAUACAAUCGUGGUGACAACUUUCACCUCAGACUUUGCUGGCCUUGUGGGGAUAGAAUCACAACCAGGGCCAGGACACCAGAGGCAGUGCAAUCGCCACAAGAGGCCUAUG
This 607-nucleotide long non-coding RNA is filed under the name Homo sapiens (human). RNAcentral's name for it is "non-protein coding lnc-WDR1-6:1". Lineage: Eukaryota; Metazoa; Chordata; Mammalia; Primates; Hominidae. The record is from RNAcentral.